Molecule: ribosomal RNA, 584 nt
Filed under: Criconema demani
Lineage: Eukaryota; Metazoa; Nematoda; Chromadorea; Rhabditida; Criconematidae
Description: SSU rRNA
Rfam family: Eukaryotic small subunit ribosomal RNA
Source: RNAcentral
UCCAAUGCCCUGAUGGGGAGCUUCCCGGAAACGAAAGUCUUCCGGUUCCGGGGGAAGUAUGGUUGCAAAGCUGAAACUUAAAGGAAUUGACGGAAGGGCACCACCAGGAGUGGAGCCUGCGGCUUAAUUUGACUCAACACGGGAAAACUCACCCGGCCCGGACACCGUAAGGAUUGACAGAUUGAUAGCUUUUUCAUGAUUCGGUGGUUGGUGGUGCAUGGCCGUUCUUAGUUCGUGGAUCGAUUUGUCUGGUUUAUUCCGAUAACGAGCGAGACUCCAGCCUACUAACUAGUGUGGGCAUUGCCACUGUGCUCUUACACUUCUUAGAGGGAUUGGCUGCGUCUAGCGGCACGAAACGGAGCAAUAACAGGUCUGUGAUGCCCUUAGAUGUCCGGGGCUGCACGCGCGCUACACUGGCAAAGGCAGCGUGCUUGUCCGUCUCCGAAAGGAGUCGGUAAACCCUUGAAAAUUUGCCGUGAUUGGGAUCGGAAAUUGCAAUUAUUUUCCGUGAACGAGGAAUUCCUAGUAAGUGCGAGUCAUCAGCUCGCGUUGAUUACGUCCCUGCCCUUUGUACACACCGCCCG